Molecule: long non-coding RNA, 95 nt
Organism: Camelus ferus (Wild Bactrian camel)
Lineage: Eukaryota; Metazoa; Chordata; Mammalia; Artiodactyla; Camelidae
Rfam family: Pvt1 oncogene conserved region 3
Source: Rfam
CCCUCAUGAUGACUGUAACUGUCAGCUGCAUGGAGCUUCACUGGAGGAUUUUCUGAACCUGAUGGAUUGACAAUGAUACUCAGCUGCCUGGGGAA